Paramuricea clavata is the source of this 271-nucleotide non-coding RNA. The record is from the annotation of a GenBank genome assembly. NCBI's taxonomy places the organism in Eukaryota, Metazoa, Cnidaria, Anthozoa, Malacalcyonacea, Plexauridae.
ACUGGGCAGGCGUGAAAAAUAUGCCUGGCCACAGUGGGAUUUGAACCUACAACCUUUGGAAUACUGGCCCAAUGCUCUGCCAACUGAGCUAUACAGUCGGGGCAGUUCGAGUAUGCGAUAUUUCGGAACUGAGUCUAGUUCCUUCGAUAUCAGUGUAAUCUAAUAACCAUGAUAUUUGUGAAUAUGAUGCUUGUGUGAUGUUACUCUGGGUGCAUAUCCACACCGGGCAAGCUUGAAAAAUAUGCCAAGCCACAUUGGGAUUCAAACUGAC